CCUACGGGUGGCAGCAGUGAGGAAUUUUGGUCAAUGGGCGCGAGCCUGAACCAGCCAUGUAGCGUGAAGGAUGACUGCCCUACGGGCUGUAAACUUCUUUUAUAAAGGAAUAAAGCGAGGAACGUGUGCCUUUUUGGAUGUACUUUAUGAAUAAGGAUCGGCUAACGCCGUUCCAGCACCCGCGGUAAUACGGAGGAUCCGAGCGUUAUCCGGACUUAUUGGGUUUAACGGGAACGUAGAUGGGUUGUUAAGUCAGUUGUGAAAGUUUGCGGCUCAACCGUAAAAGUGCAAUUGAUACUGGCAGCCAUGAGGAAAGUGGAGGCAGGCGGAAUUCGUGGUG
Molecule: ribosomal RNA, 340 nt
Filed under: uncultured bacterium
Lineage: Bacteria
Description: partial 16S ribosomal RNA
Rfam family: Bacterial small subunit ribosomal RNA
Source: RNAcentral